This 894-nucleotide ribosomal RNA is filed under the name Gnomoniopsis fructicola. RNAcentral's name for it is "LSU rRNA". It matches the Rfam family "Eukaryotic large subunit ribosomal RNA", at positions 38 to 963 of the family's 3401-position model. The record is from RNAcentral. Lineage: Eukaryota; Fungi; Ascomycota; Sordariomycetes; Diaporthales; Gnomoniaceae.
GCAUAUCAAUAAGCGGAGGAAAAGAAACCAACAGGGAUUGCCCCAGUAACGGCGAGUGAAGCGGCAACAGCUCAAAUUUGAAAUCUGGCUUCGGCCCGAGUUGUAAUUUGCAGAGGAUGUUUAUGGUGCGGUACCUUCCGAGUUCCCUGGAACGGGACGCCACAGAGGGUGAGAGCCCCGUCUGGUUGGAUACCAAACCUGUGUUAAACUCCUUCAACGAGUCGAGUAGUUUGGGAAUGCUGCUCUAAAUGGGAGGUAAAUCUCUUCUAAAGCUAAAUAUUGGCCAGAGACCGAUAGCGCACAAGUAGAGUGAUCGAAAGAUGAAAAGCACCUUGAAAAGGGGGUUAAACAGUACGUGAAAUUGUUAAAAGGGAAGCGUUUAUGACCAGACUUGUGUCGUGUGGCUCAUCCGAGGUUCUCCCCGGUGCACUCCACACGGCUCAGGCCAACAUCGGUUCUCGUUGGGGGAUAAGAACAGCAGGAACGUGGCCCUCUUCGGAGGGUGUUAUAGCCUGCUGUACGAUACCCUGAUGGGGACCGAGGACCGCGCUUCGGCUAGGAUGUUGGCGUAAUGGUCAUUAGCGACCCGUCUUGAAACACGGACCAAGGAGUCGUCCAUUAGAGCGAGCGUUUGGGUGUAAAACCCGCACGCGUAAUGAAAGUGAAAUUAGGUGAGAGCUUCGGCGCAUCAUCGACCGAUCCUGAAGUUUACGGAUGGAUUUGAGUAAGAGUUUUAACGGACGGACCCGAAAGACAGUGAACUAUGCUUGAAUAGGGUGAAGCCAGAGGAAACUCUGGUGGAGGCUCGCAGCGGUUCUGACGUGCAAAUCGAUCGUCAAAUUUGAGCAUGGGGGCGAAAGACUAAUCGAACUGUCUAGUAGCUGGUUACCGCGA